RNAcentral lists this ribosomal RNA (1517 nucleotides) under Klebsiella pneumoniae. RNAcentral describes it as "bacterial SSU rRNA". It matches the Rfam family "Bacterial small subunit ribosomal RNA". Lineage: Bacteria; Pseudomonadati; Pseudomonadota; Gammaproteobacteria; Enterobacterales; Enterobacteriaceae. The record is from RNAcentral.
AGAGUUUGAUCAUGGCUCAGAUUGAACGCUGGCGGCAGGCCUAACACAUGCAAGUCGAGCGGUAGCACAGAGAGCUUGCUCUCGGGUGACGAGCGGCGGACGGGUGAGUAAUGUCUGGGAAACUGCCUGAUGGAGGGGGAUAACUACUGGAAACGGUAGCUAAUACCGCAUAACGUCGCAAGACCAAAGUGGGGGACCUUCGGGCCUCAUGCCAUCAGAUGUGCCCAGAUGGGAUUAGCUAGUAGGUGGGGUAACGGCUCACCUAGGCGACGAUCCCUAGCUGGUCUGAGAGGAUGACCAGCCACACUGGAACUGAGACACGGUCCAGACUCCUACGGGAGGCAGCAGUGGGGAAUAUUGCACAAUGGGCGCAAGCCUGAUGCAGCCAUGCCGCGUGUGUGAAGAAGGCCUUCGGGUUGUAAAGCACUUUCAGCGGGGAGGAAGGCGNNNNNNNUCGAUUGACGUUACCCGCAGAAGAAGCACCGGCUAACUCCGUGCCAGCAGCCGCGGUAAUACGGAGGGUGCAAGCGUUAAUCGGAAUUACUGGGCGUAAAGCGCACGCAGGCGGUCUGUCAAGUCGGAUGUGAAAUCCCCGGGCUCAACCUGGGAACUGCAUUCGAAACUGGCAGGCUAGAGUCUUGUAGAGGGGGGUAGAAUUCCAGGUGUAGCGGUGAAAUGCGUAGAGAUCUGGAGGAAUACCGGUGGCGAAGGCGGCCCCCUGGACAAAGACUGACGCUCAGGUGCGAAAGCGUGGGGAGCAAACAGGAUUAGAUACCCUGGUAGUCCACGCCGUAAACGAUGUCGAUUUGGAGGUUGUGCCCUUGAGGCGUGGCUUCCGGAGCUAACGCGUUAAAUCGACCGCCUGGGGAGUACGGCCGCAAGGUUAAAACUCAAAUGAAUUGACGGGGGCCCGCACAAGCGGUGGAGCAUGUGGUUUAAUUCGAUGCAACGCGAAGAACCUUACCUGGUCUUGACAUCCACAGAACUUUCCAGAGAUGGAUUGGUGCCUUCGGGAACUGUGAGACAGGUGCUGCAUGGCUGUCGUCAGCUCGUGUUGUGAAAUGUUGGGUUAAGUCCCGCAACGAGCGCAACCCUUAUCCUUUGUUGCCAGCGGUUAGGCCGGGAACUCAAAGGAGACUGCCAGUGAUAAACUGGAGGAAGGUGGGGAUGACGUCAAGUCAUCAUGGCCCUUACGACCAGGGCUACACACGUGCUACAAUGGCAUAUACAAAGAGAAGCGACCUCGCGAGAGCAAGCGGACCUCAUAAAGUAUGUCGUAGUCCGGAUUGGAGUCUGCAACUCGACUCCAUGAAGUCGGAAUCGCUAGUAAUCGUAGAUCAGAAUGCUACGGUGAAUACGUUCCCGGGCCUUGUACACACCGCCCGUCACACCAUGGGAGUGGGUUGCAAAAGAAGUAGGUAGCUUAACCUUCGGGAGGGCGCUUACCACUUUGUGAUUCAUGACUGGGGUGAAGUCGUAACAAGGUAACCGUAGGGGAACCUGCGGUUGGAUCACCU